This is a long non-coding RNA of Sander lucioperca (pikeperch), 175 nucleotides long. RefSeq lists it as uncharacterized. The transcript has 3 exons. Lineage: Eukaryota; Metazoa; Chordata; Actinopteri; Perciformes; Percidae. The record is from RefSeq and is a predicted model, not a curated record.
ACUGCUCACUAACAGUAAUAUUAAAUAAAGUUGCCUUGCCUUACAAUCUCAGCCUGUCAGUCAGUCCUCAGGGCAUAGAAACCACUGUUGUGCCUGCUUGUCUCACAGGAAGUGUAAUGUCAACAACACCGCGACUGCUUUCGGCUUGCCAUUAAUAUAUCACAGUGAAUGGUGU